This 212-nucleotide ribosomal RNA is filed under the name uncultured bacterium. Its description in RNAcentral is "partial 16S ribosomal RNA". It matches the Rfam family "Bacterial small subunit ribosomal RNA", at positions 1290 to 1500 of the family's 1533-position model. The record is from RNAcentral.
AGUUCGGAUUGCAGGCUGAAACUCGCCUGCAUGAAGUCGGAAUUGCUAGUAAUCGCGGAUCAGCAUGCCGCGGUGAAUACGUUCCCGGGCCUUGUACACACCGCCCGUCACACCAUGGGAGUCGGAAAUGCCCGAAGCCAGUGACCCAACCUUUAAGGAGGGAGCUGUCGAAGGCAGGUCUGGUAACUGGGGUGAAGUCGUAACAAGGUACC